RNAcentral lists this ribosomal RNA (254 nucleotides) under uncultured bacterium. Its description in RNAcentral is "partial 16S ribosomal RNA". It matches the Rfam family "Bacterial small subunit ribosomal RNA", at positions 524 to 776 of the family's 1533-position model. The record is from RNAcentral.
UACGUAGGGUGCGAGCGUUAAUCGGAAUUACUGGGCGUAAAGCGUGCGCAGGCGGUUUUGUAAGCCAGAUGUGAAAUCCCCGGGCUUAACCUGGGAAUGGCAUUUGGGACUGCAAGGCUCGAGUGCGGCAGAGGAGACUGGAAUUCCUGGUGUAGCGGUGAAAUGCGCAGAUAUCAGGAAGAACACCCGUGGCGAAGGCGGUUCUCUGGGACGGUACUGACGCUGGAGACGCGAAAGCGUGGGGAGCGAACAGG